This 128-nucleotide ribosomal RNA is filed under the name Vaucheria litorea. Lineage: Eukaryota; Xanthophyceae; Vaucheriales; Vaucheriaceae. The record is from RNAcentral.
AAUAUUUUGGUCUUGGUGUUUAAAGAAUUAUGGAACCACACUGAUCCAUCUCGAACUCAGUGGUGAAACGUAAUUACAGUGACGAUACUUCUGAAGAAGUUCUUUGGGAAAAUAGCUUAUGCCAAGAC